Molecule: non-coding RNA, 32 nt
Filed under: Geobacter sulfurreducens PCA
Lineage: Bacteria; Pseudomonadati; Thermodesulfobacteriota; Desulfuromonadia; Geobacterales; Geobacteraceae
Source: RNAcentral
AUCAACUACACCUACACCGUGGCCGCCAGCGG